RNAcentral lists this ribosomal RNA (460 nucleotides) under uncultured bacterium. RNAcentral's name for it is "partial 16S ribosomal RNA". It matches the Rfam family "Bacterial small subunit ribosomal RNA", at positions 338 to 795 of the family's 1533-position model. The record is from RNAcentral.
CCUACGGGAGGCAGCAGUGAGGAAUAUUUGUCAAUGGACGCAAGUCUGAACCAGCCAUGCCGCGUGCAGGAUGACGGCUCUAUGAGUUGUAAACUGCUUUUGUACGAGGGUAAACCCCGAUACGUGUAUCGGGUUGAAAGUAUCGUACGAAUAAGGAUCGGCUAACUCCGUUCCAGCAGCCGCGGUAAUAAGGAGGGGCCGAGCGUUAUCCGGAUUUGUUGGGUUUAAAGGGUGCGUAGGCGGUUUGAUAAGUUAGAGGUGAAAUGUCGGGGCUCAAACCCGAAACUGCCCAUAAUACGGUGGGACUAGAGAAUAGUUGCGGUAGGUGGAAUGUAUGGUGUAGCAGUGAAAUGCUUAGAGAUCAUACAGAACACCGAUUGCGAAGGCAGCUUACCAAACUAUAUCUGACGUUGAGGCACGAAAGCGUGGGUAGCAAACAGGAUUAGAUACCCUUGUAGUC